This 774-nucleotide ribosomal RNA is filed under the name uncultured Neocallimastigales. RNAcentral's name for it is "partial large subunit ribosomal RNA". It matches the Rfam family "Eukaryotic large subunit ribosomal RNA", at positions 26 to 644 of the family's 3401-position model. Lineage: Eukaryota; Fungi; Neocallimastigomycota; Neocallimastigomycetes; Neocallimastigales. The record is from RNAcentral.
CGCAUCUGUGCAUGCAGCAUAUCAAUAAGCGGAGGAAAAGAAACUAACAAGGAUUCCCCUAGUAACGGCGAGUGAAGCGGGAAGAGCUCAAAUUUGAAAUCUUAAAGGGUUUCCCUUUACGAGUUGUAGUUUAAAGAAGUGUUUUCUGUUGAGGUUUUGGUAAAAGUUCCUUGGAAUAGGACAUCAUAGAGGGUGAGAAUCCCGUAUUUGACCUUUACUUUCAACUUUGUGAUACACUUUCAAAGAGUCGGAUUGUUUGGGAAUGCAGUCCAAAAUGGGUGGUAAAUUUCAUCUAAAGCUAAAUAUUGGCGAGAGACCGAUAGCGAACAAGUACCGUGAGGGAAAGAUGAAAAGAACUUUGAAAAGAGAGUUAAACAGUACGUGAAAUUGUCAAAAGGGAAGCGUUUGACACCAGUGUUGUUUUUCUGAAAAUCAAUUAAAGAACUGUUUAUGCUAAGUUGUUUAGACUUUAUCAGCUAUCUGUUUAGUUUUGAGCUUUUCUUUAAUGCACUUUUCAGUUAACAAGUCAACAUCAAUUUCUUUUGCUGUAAAAAAGCUUGAGGAAGGUGGCUUGAGAUUCGUCUUAAGUGUUUAUAGCCUCUUGCCUAUGCAGUCGGAGAGAUUGAGGUCUGCAGCGUAGAUCCUUCGGGGCUAAAUGCAUUUGUGCUAAGUUAUAGCAUUUUAUAGACGACUUGUUGACUAUGAUUUGUCUUGUAGCUUACUCGCUUAUGUUAUUUUACCUACGCUUAGGAUGUUGAAUCUGUGCGAGACUAC